GAUGAACGCUAGCGGCAGGCUUAAUACAUGCAAGUCGAGGGGCAGCAUGAUUGUAGCAAUACAAUUGAUGGCGACCGGCAAACGGGUGCGGAACACGUACACAACCUCCCAAUAAGUGGGGAAUAGCCCAGAGAAAUUUGGAUUAAUACCCCGUAACAUAACGAUGUGGCAUCACAUUGUUAUUAUAGAUUUUUCGCUUAUUGAUGGGUGUGCGGCUGAUUAGAUAGUUGGCGGGGUAACGGCCCACCAAGUCUACGAUCAGUAGCUGAUGUGAGAGCAUGAUCAGCCACACGGGCACUGAGACACGGGCCCGACUCCUACGGGAGGCAGCAGUAAGGAAUAUUGGACAAUGGACGCAAGUCUGAUCCAGCCAUGCCGCGUGAAGGAUUAAGGUCCUCUGGAUUGUAAACUUCUUUUAUAAGGGACGAAAAAAGGCUUUUCUAAGUCGUCUGACGGUACCUUAUGAAUAAGCACCGGCUAACUCCGUGCCAGCCGCCGCUGUAA
RNAcentral lists this ribosomal RNA (504 nucleotides) under uncultured bacterium. RNAcentral describes it as "partial 16S ribosomal RNA". It matches the Rfam family "Bacterial small subunit ribosomal RNA", at positions 28 to 523 of the family's 1533-position model. The record is from RNAcentral.